RNAcentral lists this ribosomal RNA (701 nucleotides) under Entomortierella jenkinii. Its description in RNAcentral is "eukaryotic LSU rRNA". It matches the Rfam family "Eukaryotic large subunit ribosomal RNA", at positions 92 to 649 of the family's 3401-position model. The record is from RNAcentral. Lineage: Eukaryota; Fungi; Mortierellomycota; Mortierellomycetes; Mortierellales; Mortierellaceae.
AGUGAAGCGGGAUGAGCUCAAAUUUAAAAUCUGGCUGGUUUACUAGUCCGAAUUGUAGUUUAAAGAAGCGUUUUCGGUGGCAGUCUCGGUAUAAAUCCUUUGGAAUAGGGUAUCAUAGAGGGUGAGAAUCCCGUCUUUGACUGAGAAUUUGCUACUAUGUGAUACGUUUUCAAAGAGUCGAGUUGUUUGGGAAUGCAGCUCAAAAUGGGUGGUAAAUUUCAUCUAAAGCUAAAUAUUGGCGAGAGACCGAUAGCGAACAAGUACCGUGAGGGAAAGAUGAAAAGAACUUUGAAAAGAGAGUUAAACAGUGCGUGAAAUUGUUGAAAGGGAAACGCUUGAAACCAGUCAUGUAGUUGGAAAAUCAGUGUUCAAUUGGAGGGAAUGGGGGAGGUGUGGACCGCAAGGCUGCUCUUUUCUAUAUCUCUUUUGUUGGGCAUGCACUUUUUCUUCCGCAGGUCAACAUCAGUUUCUUUUGCUGGACAAAACUCUUGAGAAGGUAGCAGCUUAGGCUGUGUUAUAGCUCUGGAGCGAUACAGUGGAGGGGACUGAGGUUUUCGCAGCAUGUGCUCUCGGGCAAGGCCGGUUGGGUGCUAUGGGAUCGUUCGGGGUACAAUACAUGUAUUUUGCUUCGUGUCUUUUCUAUACUCGCUUAAUUGUGCUCUUCCAUGCUUAGGAUGUUGACUUAAUGGUUUUAAUCGACC